GUUGUCUGUGAUGUUUAUCUUAGUUUUGAGUUUCAAUGACCAUGAGAAUACCUUACAUGCACUACCAUCUGAGACAUU
This is a small nucleolar RNA of Cheilinus undulatus (humphead wrasse), 78 nucleotides long. The record is from RefSeq and is a predicted model, not a curated record. Lineage: Eukaryota; Metazoa; Chordata; Actinopteri; Labriformes; Labridae.